This 487-nucleotide ribosomal RNA is filed under the name uncultured organism. RNAcentral's name for it is "bacterial SSU rRNA". It matches the Rfam family "Bacterial small subunit ribosomal RNA", at positions 395 to 882 of the family's 1533-position model. The record is from RNAcentral.
AGUAGCGUGCAGGAUGACGGCCCUAUGGGUUGUAAACUGCUUUUAUAAGGGAAUAAAGUGAGUCUCGUGAGACUUUUUGCAUGUACCUUAUGAAUAAGGACCGGCUAAUUCCGUGCCAGCAGCCGCGGUAAUACGGAAGGUCCGGGCGUUAUCCGGAUUUAUUGGGUUUAAAGGGAGCGUAGGCCGGAGAUUAAGCGUGUUGUGAAAUGUAGACGCUCAACGUCUGCACUGCAGCGCGAACUGGUUUCCUUGAGUACGCACAAAGUGGGCGGAAUUCGUGGUGUAGCGGUGAAAUGCUUAGAUAUCACGAAGAACUCCGAUUGCGAAGGCAGCUCACUGGAGCGCAACUGACGCUGAAGCUCGAAAGUGCGGGUAUCGAACAGGAUUAGAUACCCUGGUAGUCCGCACGGUAAACGAUGGAUGCCCGCUGUUGGUCUGAAUAGGUCAGCGGCCAAGCGAAAGCAUUAAGCAUCCCACCUGGGGAGUA